RNAcentral lists this long non-coding RNA (1105 nucleotides) under Marmota monax (woodchuck). Lineage: Eukaryota; Metazoa; Chordata; Mammalia; Rodentia; Sciuridae. The record is from RNAcentral.
GGGAAACCAGAGCUUUUCAGUAAAUUUAUGACUACUUAGUGAAAUUUAUAGUAAUUUAGUAAGAUUUUUAAGUUAUGAUUUCCUUUGGCUAUAGAAAGAGACAUAAGUACCAUUCUGUGGCAAUAUACUCUCAUUAGGCAAAAGGAAAGCAUCAAGCCAUGCCAAGAGAAACCUUAGUUUUAUUUUAAGUGGUGUGAAUCUCCAUCUUGAAAUGCAAGUACCACAUAAAGCUUAACCACUUUAUAAAUCUAGUUAGAAUACAAUAUUCCCCUCCAUAUUUGAAUUGUACCAGUUCAUUCCCUGAGCACUCGUUUUCUGAGUACUUAGUUAUAACCCUUGUAAACUGCCAACUUAAAUACAGACAAGGAAAGGCAAACAUUUUCUAUCCACCAUUCCUGCCCCUCAAAGCUGAAAUUCAUGGUCUUCUCCUAAGCAACGUGUCCCAAAUGUCUUUGGAAGAGUCUUGAGAAGAAGGGGAGUCAAGAGAGUUGCCCAAUCAGCAAAUAUGAAAUUUAUGCUUUACCUUAAAAUUUCAGAUAACUUUUGCAUGCUGUUCCUUCCACCUCCAAUGCCCUUCCCUAACUCUCAGCAUGGUUGCCUCUAUUUCAUGAAACCAAAUUGCUGUCCACAUUGAAAAGUCUUUGCUGUUCACUUUUGCUGAAGAAGUAUAUUGAACCAACUGAAUUCUAUCAUUGCAAAUUCCCUGUUUUCUUCAAAGCAUCUGUCAAAUUCACAAUUAUAUAUUUUCUCUCUCUCCAUUUAUUUCCUACCUUUCUUUCUUUUCUUCCUCCUUCCCUCCCUUCUCUUCUUUCCUUUCCACUGUAGUAGCAGGUCCAUGUCUCAUUUACUGUUUUAUCACUUGCACCCAGCAGACUGCUACUACUCAUCAGAUACUCAAAAAAUUGUUGAUUAAAUGAAGCCUGAAAUAAUUGUUUUAUAUUUGUAUAAUUAUUUUAUCCACCCAGAAAAAAAUAUGCAAGAAGAAGUUCAUAGUAUUUAUGCCCUGACUUUGUAACCCUUUUGGCACAUUGACAAAUACCCCAGUUUGAAGAAGAUUAAUUCAUAUAGAAGAUCAAUACUUAUUAGUGCUUGUUAUGUACCACAG